Triticum aestivum (bread wheat) is the source of this 1763-nucleotide RNA transcript. It is a transcript of the gene named probable cystathionine gamma-synthase 2, with no coding region annotated. NCBI's taxonomy places the organism in Eukaryota, Viridiplantae, Streptophyta, Magnoliopsida, Poales, Poaceae. The record is from RefSeq and is a predicted model, not a curated record. The transcript is spliced from 5 exons.
UCUGCCUAACUUGUUUCAUUGAUCCUAUCUGAGCUUGGCUAAUCUCUUCGAUUCCACCUGUUUUCACAACUCUUCCUCGACCGCACAAGUAAUUCAUGGCGCGGUCGACGUCUCCUCUCGUCAACAAGGCUUCACCCACCGAGCAGCGCCGCCUUCUCCGACCUCGCCGUUCUUCAAAGCGUGUCACCGCUUUGAGCCCGGAGGCGCUCCUUGAUGCCUCACUCCCCAGCGCCGAGCACCCUGUGCCGGUGUUGCAGCAGGAUGACGGCGACAUCGUCGCUGCCACCAUCCCUCUGAAGGGAGAUGCUACUCUUUCAGAUGGCAGUCCAUGCCGGGGAGAAGAUGGGGAAGAACGGCCUCAAGGACACUGACUCGAUCGCAACGCCGAUUGUGAGCGGCACGACGCACUGGUCCAAGAGCUCGGGCGACCUCAUCGCGUUCAAGGAAGGACGGCGCCACAGCUUCGAGUACGGCCGCUACGGCAACCCCACUAUGAAGGUCCUAGAGGACAAGAUCAGUGCCCUAGAGAGGGCUGAGUCGACGCUUGUCACGUCCUCGGGCAUGAACGCCAUCGUCGCCACGCUGCUUGCGCUCGUGCCACCCGGCGCCGGCCACGUGGUAACCACGACAGAGUGCUACAGCGAGGCGCGCGCCUUCAUCCGCGACAAGCUCUCCAAGAUGGGCAUCAAGGUGACAUUCGUCGAGCUGAAUGACAUGGAGACACUCAAGGCCGUUCUUGACCAGGGCGACGUGACACUCUUCUACACUGACUGUCCGACAAACCCCCACCUCAAGUGCAUCGACAUUAAGCUCGUAGCGGAGCUGUGUCACCGCAAAGGGGCUCUGGUGUGCAUCGACAGCACCCUCGCCUCGACCAUCAAUCAGAAGCCACUCACCAUCGGGGCCGAUAUCGUCGUGCACUCUGCCACAAAGUACAUUGCCGGCCAUCACGACGUCAUUGCAGGAUGCAUCAGCGGCUCGGAUGCGCUCAUCUCUAGGAUACGUGCGUGGCAUCACGACCUCGGCGGCGCCAUUAGUCCGGACGCGGCCUACAUGAUCAUACGCGGCCUCAAGACGAUGGCGCUUCGCGUGGAAACACAAAACCACACUGCAUUGCGCAUGGCGCGCUUGCUCGAGAACCAUCCCAAGAUUGAGCGGGUGUACUACCCUGGACUCAUCAGCAGCCCAUGGCACCACAUCGCCAAGAGCCAGAUGACCGGUUGCGGUGGCGUCAUCAGCUUUGAGGUGGCAUCAGACCUGCACGGCGUCAUGAGGUUCAUCGACGCAUUGGAGAUACCCUUCAUUGCAACCUCACUUGGUGGGUGUGAGAGCCUCGUGCAACAGCCGGCAGUCAUGUCCUUUUGGGGGGAGAGUGAUGAGGAGAAGGCCAAGAAUGGGAUCAAGGACAACUUGGUGAGGUUUAGCUUCGGGAUUGAGAAGUUUGAGGAUCUCAGGGAUGACAUUCUCCAAGCCCCGGAGAAAAUUUACGAUUAUUCUUGAUCACUAAUUAAUAGUGUAACAAUUUUGACAAGCUAGCUAUGUAGAAACCCUUUUUGUGCAUAUGGUAGGUAGUCAAAUUGUGCUGAAAUCCUAAGAAAAGGUAAUUAGUGUGCAUUCUUUUAUUUCUUGAAGGAAGAACAUCAAAUUUGAUGAUAAGAAAUAUUUGCUUCGCGUCAUAUGUGAUUGAAAGAAAUUCAAAUAUACAAAACUUUACUUUCUGUUUCACUAUUACAACCAUGUCAAUCACUUUUAUUCGGGUAAAA